Molecule: ribosomal RNA, 1369 nt
Filed under: uncultured bacterium
Lineage: Bacteria
Description: bacterial SSU rRNA
Rfam family: Bacterial small subunit ribosomal RNA
Source: RNAcentral
GACGAACGCUGGCGGCGUGCCUAAUACAUGCAAGUAGAACGCUGAAGAGAGGAGCUUGCUCUUCUUGGAUGAGUUGCGAACGGGUGGGUAACGCGUAGGUAACCUGCCUUGUAGUGGGGGAUAACUAUUGGAAACGAUAGCUAAUACCGCAUAACAAUAGGUGACACAUGUCAUUUAUUUGAAAGGGGCAAUUGCUCCACUACAAGAUGGACCUGCGUUGUAUUAGCUAGUAGGUGAGGUAACGGCUCACCUAGGCGACGAUACAUAGCCGACCUGAGAGGGUGAUCGGCCACACUGGGACUGAGACACGGCCCAGACUCCUACGGGAGGCAGCAGUAGGGAAUCUUCGGCAAUGGGGGCAACCCUGACCGAGCAACGCCGCGUGAGUGAAGAAGGUUUUCGGAUCGUAAAGCUCUGUUGUAAGUCAAGAACGAGUGUGAGAGUGGAAAGUUCACACUGUGACGGUAGCUUACCAGAAAGGGACGGCUAACUACGUGCCAGCAGCCGCGGUAAUACGUAGGUCCCGAGCGUUGUCCGGAUUUAUUGGGCGUAAAGCGAGCGCAGGCGGUUUGAUAAGUCUGAAGUUAAAGGCUGUGGCUCAACCAUAGUUCGCUUUGGAAACUGUCAAACUUGAGUGCAGAAGGGGGGAGUGGAAUUCCAUGUGUAGCGGUGAAAUGCGUAGAUAUAUGGAGGAACACCGGUGGCGAAAGCGGCUCUCUGGUCUGUAACUGACGCUGAGGCUCGAAAGCGUGGGGAGCGAACAGGAUUAGAUACCCUGGUAGUCCACGCCGUAAACGAUGAGUGCUAGGUGUUGGAUCCUUUCCGGGAUUCAGUGCCGCAGCUAACGCAUUAAGCACUCCGCCUGGGGAGUACGACCGCAAGGUUGAAACUCAAAGGAAUUGACGGGGGCCCGCACAAGCGGUGGAGCAUGUGGUUUAAUUCGAAGCAACGCGAAGAACCUUACCAGGUCUUGACAUCCCGAUGCUAUUUCUAGAGAUAGAAAGUUACUUCGGUACAUCGGUGACAGGUGGUGCAUGGUUGUCGUCAGCUCGUGUCGUGAGAUGUUGGGUUAAGUCCCGCAACGAGCGCAACCCCUAUUGUUAGUUGCCAUCAUUCAGUUGGGCACUCUAGCGAGACUGCCGGUAAUAAACCGGAGGAAGGUGGGGAUGACGUCAAAUCAUCAUGCCCCUUAUGACCUGGGCUACACACGUGCUACAAUGGUUGGUACAACGAGUUGCGAGUCGGUGACGGCAAGCUAAUCUCUUAAAGCCAAUCUCAGUUCGGAUUGUAGGCUGCAACUCGCCUACAUGAAGUCGGAAUCGCUAGUAAUCGCGGAUCAGCACGCCGCGGUGAAUACGUUCCCGGGCCU